This is a small nucleolar RNA of Hibiscus syriacus, 147 nucleotides long. RefSeq annotates it as small nucleolar RNA snoR134. The record is from RefSeq and is a predicted model, not a curated record. The transcript has a single exon. Lineage: Eukaryota; Viridiplantae; Streptophyta; Magnoliopsida; Malvales; Malvaceae.
CAGCACGAACUCUCCCGGGCUUAUCUGAAUCUCAAAAAGUGAAGAAAAAAGCCCCAAUGUUGGUGCUAAAGUCAUGCCGUCUCACGUGUUGCCGAGUAGCUUUGCUUUCCCCACCGGCUCUUCCGUGUCAAAUAGGCGGCGACACUU